Non-coding RNA from Archocentrus centrarchus (flier cichlid), 491 nucleotides. Lineage: Eukaryota; Metazoa; Chordata; Actinopteri; Cichliformes; Cichlidae. The record is from the annotation of a RefSeq genome assembly.
CAGUAACAUCUCUUUCAGAGUUACAGGUUUAUUCUGAGCUCACACUGACAACAUGCUGGUGACUCUCUGCGCUCUCAUCACUGCUCUAACAUGUGUGAGUGGUGUGACGGUGCUGACACAGAAACCUGUUGUAUCAGUGAGGAGAGGAGAGACAGCCACCAUGGACUGUAACCUGGGGACUGUUACUGGCUAUUCUGCUCGUUGGUACAAACAGAUUCCAGGAGGAGUUCCUCAGUAUGUGCUGAGGUUUCAUCAUAGUUAUAGUUCUCCAGAAUAUGGCUCUGGGUUCUCCUCUCCAAAAUUCACAUCCACUCACCAGUCAACAACAGAUUAUCGUUUGAUCAUCAGCAAUGUGGAGGAGGGAGACUCUGCAGUCUAUUACUGUCACACAUGGGAUGACUCUGCUAAGCAGGACGUAUCACAGUGAUUUACACUGUGACAAAAACCUCCUCACUAUUACUUCUGCUUUUUCAGACUGUCACACAUGCUGA